UUGACCUCGAAUCAGGUAGGACUACCCGCUGAACUUAAGCAUAUCAAUAAGCGGAGGAAAAGAAACCAACAGGGAUUGCCCCAGUAACGGCGAGUGAAGCGGC
RNAcentral lists this ribosomal RNA (103 nucleotides) under Beauveria bassiana. RNAcentral's name for it is "partial 28S ribosomal RNA". It matches the Rfam family "Eukaryotic large subunit ribosomal RNA", at positions 1 to 102 of the family's 3401-position model. The record is from RNAcentral. Lineage: Eukaryota; Fungi; Ascomycota; Sordariomycetes; Hypocreales; Cordycipitaceae.